UGAAAGAGCGUCGAGCGCUCUUCUGUGGGGCGGUUGGCCCGAAGGUGCGAGAGACUUCAUUGUCAGCGGGCAGUCUGAGGGCUGCCCUCUGAGGCAGCUGCUUGAUUGCGUUUGGAAAUUUGCUUGCAGGUUUAGGGUCAGCGUGGGGAUCCUGACAGUGAGACUGCGGUGCUUCUGUGGAGUGAGGUUUCUGUGCAGCUGGUGCUGAGGAGGUCUGUGUCCUGGGUUGCAAGGUGCAGAAGAAGCAGAGGGGGUCCAAGAGGUAUUUCUGAAUGGGAGGAGUGCAGGUUGUGCUGGUAAGUUAGUAGGUUUGUUAGUUUUUUU
Non-coding RNA from Meleagris gallopavo (turkey), 324 nucleotides. NCBI's taxonomy places the organism in Eukaryota, Metazoa, Chordata, Aves, Galliformes, Phasianidae. The record is from RefSeq and is a predicted model, not a curated record.